This 516-nucleotide ribosomal RNA is filed under the name uncultured bacterium. RNAcentral's name for it is "bacterial SSU rRNA". It matches the Rfam family "Archaeal small subunit ribosomal RNA", at positions 725 to 1236 of the family's 1478-position model. The record is from RNAcentral.
AGUGAAUAGAUACCCGGGUAGUCCCAGCUGUAAACGAUGCGCGUUAGGUGUAUCGGUGACCACGAGUCACCGAGGUGCCGAAAGGGAAACCGUGAAACGUGCCGCCUGGGAAGUACGGUCGCAAGGCUGAAACUUAAAGGAAUUGGCGGGGGAGGCACCACAACAGGUGGAGCCUGCGGUUUAAAUCGGACUCAACGCCGGGAAGCUCACCGGAUAAGACAGCUGAAUGAUAGCCGGGUUGAAGACUCUGCUUGACUAGCUGAGAGGAGGUGCAUGGCCGUCGUCAGUUCGUACUGUGAAGCAUCCUGUUAAGUCAGGCAACGAGCGAGACCCACGCCAACAGUUGCCAGCAUGUCCUCCGGGAUGGUGGGGACACUGUUGGGACCGCCUCUGCUAAAGAGGAGGAAGGAAUGGGCAACGGUAGGUCAGCAUGCCCCGAAUUAUCCGGGCUACACGCGGGCUACAAUGGUCAGGACAAUGGGUAUCAACACCGAAAGGUGAAGGCAAUCUCCUAAA